UAAAGUGCUUAUAGUGCAGGUAGUGUUGCAGUAAUCUACUGCAAUAUAAGCACUUGAGU
RNAcentral lists this microRNA precursor (59 nucleotides) under Scyliorhinus torazame (cloudy catshark). Its description in RNAcentral is "Sto-Mir-17-P4a_pre stem-loop". It matches the Rfam family "mir-17 microRNA precursor family", at positions 12 to 69 of the family's 80-position model. From Rfam's summary of the family: This family represents the microRNA (miRNA) precursor mir-17, family, which includes mir-20, mir-91, and mir-103. miRNAs are transcribed as ~70nt precursors (modelled here) and subsequently processed by the Dicer enzyme to give a ~22nt product. In this case the mature sequence comes from the 3' arm of the precursor. The record is from RNAcentral. Lineage: Eukaryota; Metazoa; Chordata; Chondrichthyes; Carcharhiniformes; Scyliorhinidae.